RNAcentral lists this ribosomal RNA (197 nucleotides) under uncultured bacterium. RNAcentral's name for it is "partial 16S ribosomal RNA". It matches the Rfam family "Bacterial small subunit ribosomal RNA", at positions 328 to 539 of the family's 1533-position model. The record is from RNAcentral.
ACGCUCGACACCUACGGGAGCAGCAGUGGGGAAUAUUGCACAAUGGGGGAAACCCUGAUGCAGCGACGCCGCGUGAGCGAAGAAGUAUUUCGGUAUGUAAAGCUCUAUCAGCAGGGAAGAAACUGACGGUACCUGACUAAGAAGCACCGGCUAAAUACGUGCCCGCAGCCGCGGUAAUCUGAGCGGGCUGGCAAGGC